Molecule: long non-coding RNA, 1546 nt
Filed under: Bos grunniens (domestic yak)
Lineage: Eukaryota; Metazoa; Chordata; Mammalia; Artiodactyla; Bovidae
Description: lncRNA (ENSBGRG00000001828.1)
Source: RNAcentral
UUGUGAUCUGACCAGUAAUUUUAAUAUUUUCUGCUGAACAUGAAGGAAUGGGGUACUCCGUUCAGCUUUUUCAUUUGUUAGCUGAACUUGCUAGUUGAAUAAAGAGAGAAAUUGUCAGUUAGGUAAUUUAGAUCAACACUUUGUUGUUGUUGUUUUUUGCUUUUUUUUUGCUUUUCAGGGUUCCUGAGCAGAAGGGAAAAUGAGCUUAAACAUGAGGCUUGGAGGAGAAAGAAGGGCUGGGGAGAAAUAUGAAUGUCUAUUAGAAUCAUCCAGAGCAUGGAUUGGACUGAUGCUGAAGCUCCAGUACUUUGGCCACCUGAUGAGAAGAGCUGACUCCCUGGAAGAGACCCUGAUGCUUUGAAAGAUUGAGGGCAAGAGGAAAAGGGGGUGACAGAGGAUGAGAUAGUUGGAUGGCAUCACAGACUCAAUGGACAUGAGUUUAAGCAAACUCCGGGAGAUAGUCAAGGACAGGGGAGCCUGAUGUGCUGCAGCCCAUGGGGUCACAAAGAGUUGGACAUGACUGAGUGACUGAACAACAACAACAACGCACACAGAUUGGGAAAGUCCCAAAUUUCAAUCAUCUCUAUGGAAUGGCCUUGAAACAGCAAUGCUCAUGACUACUUAUGAAAUAUCUUCUGUGACAGACAGAUAAUAGACACUCCACCCAUCCUGUCUUAUAAAAAGUAUCUUAUUAUAAAAUGACAAACAUAUAGAAAACAAGAAUAUUAUAAAACCAUGGGUACACAUUAGUCAUUUUCCAUUUGAUAAGGUCUUUUAAAAUGUAAUAAAAUAUUAUUGAAAUAAUUGAAUUCUCCUGUGUGUCUCUUUCCAAUCCUAUUCUCUCCUUACUUUUCCCAGAGGUAGCCAACAUCCUGAACUUGAUACAUUCCUAUGUAUAUAUCACAUUUGUAUGGCUUUGUAUAUUUUAAAAGUUACUUUAUAAUACCAUAAUUUUCACUAAAAAUUAUAUUUUGAUAUAUGUCUACAUUGCUGCAUGUAGGACCAAGUUACUUUAUGUAAAACUUCUUUAUAAGUAUAUUUUAUUGAUCUGUUCCACUAAUGUUGGACGUUUCUUUUCAGUUCUUUAAUAAUAUAAUGUGGGAAUGAGCAGUUUUAAACCUCUCUCCUGCUUGGUUUGAGUGUGCUCUUACUCCUUCUUGCUGUGGUGCUGCUCAGUGAGUACUCUUGUGUACCCACUGGGGCUCACACCCAGUGAAUUUCAGACAUCCUUCCCCCUGACAUGAAGGUGACUUCUAGCAAAUAGAGCAGCUGCCCCAGUAAGCAGUUUCCUGCUGAGUUCCCAGGCAGUCUGGCCAGCUUCUCAGAAAGUUCAGUAGCAUUUCUUAUAGGAAGAUAACUUGGAAUGUUUAUGAGCACCCCACCACCUGCCCGAGCUCAUGGGUAGCCUGGGCUUGCUACACCUUACCAGAAUUAAAGCCCAGAUUUGAAUAAAUUCAUUUUCUAAUUGGAUUAAGAUAAUCUGAAGAUUGGCAGUGGUCCGAGCCUGUCUUUUUACCAGAAAUCAAUGUACACCACUAGUGCUACC